GAACCAUGGCUCAGUGGCAGAGCAUCUGCCUAGCAUGCAGAAGGGUCCAGGUUCAAUCCCUGGACCU
This 67-nucleotide transfer RNA is filed under the name Sphaerodactylus townsendi. RNAcentral describes it as "tRNA-Ala". The stretch from base 7 to 63 matches the Rfam family "tRNA", at positions 8 to 63 of the family's 71-position model. Rfam says of the family: Transfer RNA (tRNA) molecules are approximately 80 nucleotides in length. Their secondary structure includes four short double-helical elements and three loops (D, anti-codon, and T loops). Lineage: Eukaryota; Metazoa; Chordata; Lepidosauria; Squamata; Sphaerodactylidae. The record is from RNAcentral.